Molecule: ribosomal RNA, 253 nt
Filed under: uncultured microorganism
Description: partial 16S ribosomal RNA
Rfam family: Bacterial small subunit ribosomal RNA
Source: RNAcentral
UACGGAGGAUGCAAGCGUUAUCCGGAUUCAUUGGGUUUAAAGGGUGUGUAGGCGGUUUUGUAAGUCAGUGGUGAAAUCUUGACGCUUAACGGUAAAAUUGCCAUUGAUACUGCAGAUCUUGAAUAUGGAUGAGGUAGGCGGAAUGUGUAGUGUAGCGGUGAAAUGCAUAGAUAUUACACAGAACACCGAUUGCGAAGGCAGCUUACUAAACCAUUAUUGACGCUGAUGCACGAAAGCGUGGGGAGCAAACAGG